CCGUGUAUUAGAGUAAUUGUCAUUAGAUCACCUGUGUUGCAUACAGGGUCACUCUUUAUCAUUACUGCUGUAAAACCUGUGGCAAUUGGAAGAGAAAAUGAUCCUGAGCAUACUCUUUGAAUCCCUGAAGUUGGUGUCAGUAAGUUUCAUGCAGAAAUUUAUUUUGACCAUGACUUACAAAGUUAUGUCCUUGUAGAUCAAGGCAGUCAAAAGAGAACAGUUGUUAAUGGAAAAUGGAUUGUUCAACUGGAAAUUAAUGUGACCCUUAUGUACUUGAGCAUAGUCAUGAACUGAAAAUUGGAGAGACUGUGUUACCCUUUUACACUCAUCCUAGCACUGAUACCUGGGCUGGCUGUGAACCACGACAAGUUAGAGCUCACCCUUGCCUUGAUAAGAAAGAUGAAUUGUUAAUUGGACCAACUCUAAGCAAGGAGAAAAAAUAGUUGGAAAUAAGAAAAUAAUUAAAGAAAAUACAAUUAAAAUAUGUUUACAGAAACAGACUAUGAAGAUAAAUAGACAUUGAAGAAUCUAAAAUAUAAAAAUAGAGGUGGAAAACAUAGUGAGCAGAUUGGAAGUGAAGGAACCUUCCGAAGAGAUAAUUCUCCUACAUCUGUUCAUUCUGAAAUUACCAACAGCAACAAAAGUAAGAUGUUGCAGAAGAUGGGUUGGAUAAAAGGUGAGAGCCUGGGGAACGAUGGCUGGGAAUGAAAACUCUGAUUCAGCUUCAGCUUCAGCGAACACCUGUAGGCUUGGGGACAGGCAAUCCAUCCUCAUUUGAAGAUGUUCACCUUCUCCAAAACAAAAACAAACAUACUGGGACAAAGCAUGAGAUAGGUUUGCUGAAAACUUCCCAGAAACUAAACGUUAAAAAAAUGACCCAGGGACCAUGACUUGGGUAAAAGGGACUGUAGAG
Molecule: long non-coding RNA, 913 nt
Filed under: Homo sapiens (human)
Lineage: Eukaryota; Metazoa; Chordata; Mammalia; Primates; Hominidae
Description: non-protein coding lnc-TP53TG3F-24:1
Source: RNAcentral